RNAcentral lists this ribosomal RNA (164 nucleotides) under Campanile symbolicum. Its description in RNAcentral is "partial 28S ribosomal RNA". It matches the Rfam family "Eukaryotic large subunit ribosomal RNA", at positions 1326 to 1473 of the family's 3401-position model. The record is from RNAcentral. Lineage: Eukaryota; Metazoa; Mollusca; Gastropoda; Campanilidae.
CGCUGGAGCGUCAGACCCAUACCGGACCGUCUCGGCAAGAGCCCUGCUGGGGCAGCCAAGCGGAGACGAGUAGGAGGGCCGCCGCGGUGUGCGCCGAAGCCUGGGACGCGAGUCUGGGUGGAGCCGCCGCGGGCGCAGAUCUUGGUGGUAGUAGCAAAUAUUCA